GUGGAGCUCCAGGAUAAGUCAUUGAGAGGAGCAACUUCAGAAAAGGAGGUGUGCCAACAGAUCGCCCACUGCCCUGGGAGUCAGAAAUGGCUCACGUAUACCUACUCAGGAAUCAGCCUGUAGGCAAACCACGGAGUGAGGCUGGGAGUGCCUGGGUGAAGGUGCUUGUGCACGUGGGAGGGGAGCGAGCACCUUCUCUUGGUGCCAACUCCCCACCCCCCAGGAGAAAGGCCAUGCUGAGAGAAGCAGAAAUGAGACCCUGCACACGGUGGAAAGUUUUCCAUUAAGGUAUUGUUUCUGUCAUCAUGUUGAUAUGACUCUGACCAAGUGAUAUCUCAAGGUUGAGAGGCAGAGAGAUGUGUGAAUCAGAAUCAACUGGGGAGAUUUUUCAAGCCACUCUCUCCCUGGCCCCAUCCUUCCAUCCCCCAGUUGCAAACUACUGUAACUGAAGAAAACUUCAGUGACUGGUUCCAGCAGGUAUGGGACAUCAGUAUUGGGUUCUAAAUAGUGGGAGAUGUGCACAUGGUGAUUAAGGUCAAUGUCUUCCGUUUCAGGAAAAGCUGAGUUUGAAUGUUGACCCCACUCCCUCAUUAACUAUAGGAUUUUGAACAAUCUAUUUCACCUUUAGAAGCCUUCAUUUCCCCACCCAUAAAGAACUUGCCUUUAAAAUUGGUUUGUGGCUGCCAUGUAGUUAGUACUCAAUAAAUAGUUCUGCCAUUGGUUCAUUGCUAACUCCAACCCCAACUGUCCACUCUGAACCAUGGAUUUCAGGCAAUCUUUGUCAUUCUCUCACAAAGGUUUAAUAGAUGUAGGAUAUAUGCUUAAAUAUACAAUUUUAAGGCUGGAAAUAACUCUAAAACCAUAACAAUUACCCUCACCAAACCCUCAUCUUAUGGUUAGAAAAACUGAGGCUCGGAAAAACAAGAGAUUUAUCCAAGGCUACAGGCUAUGUGGAAGGGCCAGGACUAGAGCCAUACCUUCUGGCUUCCAGUCUAGCGAUUUUCACUUCCUGCCUCUCAGACCACACACUUGAUAAAAAUAAGAUGUUCUUGCUUUAAGAAGUUAAUGAUGAGAAUGUUAUUUCCUUUCUGCGACUGGGUCAGUCAUGUCAUCACAUAGAACAAGAAAAAUCCUAUGAGAUGGCCCUCAUCCACCUAAUAAAAUUAAUAGCACAGAAAGAUAUGGAAAACUACCUCCUGCUAUUGCAGAUGGAGCAUCCAAAGGCCCAGAGAGGAGCAAGCAACAGCCUAGACCUAGGACCCAGAGAGAGACCCAUGUUGUGAGGGGAAAGACAGGAAGUAAGGAGGAGAGGGCCCAGUACUCCUUACUGGCAAAAAAUCUGCUUCCCCAGAUUGGUCCAGGAUUUCAAGCUGCUCUGCCUCCCCUGAGAAUUUACAAGGAUUUCCAAAAGCUGCGUGUUUUUUCACGUGGCUGCUGCUUCCUCACGCCUUUCAUUCUUGCCCUUGUGAUUAAUACAGACAUUCGUGUAUCUGCAAUGAACUGAUACUAUGAGUCCCCUGCCCUGGGUGAACAUGGAGGUGCCCAGACCCACAGGGAAUUCAGGAAGCAGAGCAGGGGCAGUGACUGACACCCAGAAACUUUACAUUCAAGUCAGCAGACGACGGCUAGAUCUGCGCCUCUAAAAAUAGGCCCAAAGGAUCUUCAAGGCUCCCUCAACAGGGCGGGGUGCCAACACCGCCUGAAGAGCUGUACUACGGUCUGAUUCCCAGGACUCAGUGGAGGGGAGGGGAAGGUCACAGGACUGGAAGCACACCCAGUCCAGUUCUGGGC
This 1791-nucleotide long non-coding RNA is filed under the name Camelus dromedarius (Arabian camel). Its description in RNAcentral is "lncRNA (ENSCDRG00005002882.1)". The record is from RNAcentral. Lineage: Eukaryota; Metazoa; Chordata; Mammalia; Artiodactyla; Camelidae.